RNA transcript from Beta vulgaris subsp. vulgaris (sugar beet), 2895 nucleotides. RefSeq lists it as hypothetical. The transcript is spliced from 8 exons. The record is from RefSeq and is a predicted model, not a curated record. NCBI's taxonomy places the organism in Eukaryota, Viridiplantae, Streptophyta, Magnoliopsida, Caryophyllales, Amaranthaceae.
CAGGAGCGUGGGGUGGAGAAAAAAAACCAAGGUGUUUCGCCAAGAGUGAGGUUGAUGACCCAGAAGUAGUUCAGUACCCACUUAAUUAAAUUAUACUCGAGCCCGCAAAUUCAGACAUUGAUUUAUAGCUACUACUAAAAUACUAAUUAAUAAUUAUUCCCUGGAUUUACGAGUGAUCUACAAAGUAGAUGUAAAAAACACCCACUUUACUGUUUUUGUUCACCUGUUAUCUUUGCAGAUUCUCCAAAUAGCCAUUAAUAACCCAUCAAAACAGUGAAUUCUACCAAAUUUGGGCUCUUCCAACAUCGAUCUGUACAAGUCUCAGAAGAAAUAUUGCUAAAAUCUCAAAAAAAUUCCACCCAAAAACAACCCCAAAACAAAGAAGAUUUUUUUUGAAAAAAAGUUGACUUGGAAGAGAGAGAUGGUGGGAUGGAGAGAGAGUUGAGCAAAGAUUUCAAACUGGAAAAAUGGCGAGGAUUGAGUUUGGAACAAGAGUAAAAUGGGGUUGCUCUUAUAAAAGGAUAACUCUUAUUGUUUGUUCAAUCAACAUUGUUAUUGCUCUCUAUGUUCUUCACUGCCUUUACAGCUCUGUUUAUAUCUACUCCAAUAAUAAUUCUUCACAGGAUAAUGUCAAGUACACCCCAGAUCAAUUGAUGAGAAUGGAGGAAUCGGUCCGAAUUAGGAUAGCAUCAGAGCCUAUAGAGCUUGUCAAUUUGCUUGAGAAUUUAACAACCGUAUUAGCUGAACAAAAACGGAUGGUGAAACUACCCCUACAUUUAAAGCAGAUGAUUAGAGAUGAGAUCUUGCAACAGCUCAAAGCCCUACCUGCAAAUGCAAAUGUCACUGAGCAAAGAGAAGCAGUUGAAAGCUGGCGGCUGGCUAAACUUCGUGAAGCAAGACAACUGAUCCUUGGUGAAAAGAAUGUGACCUUGACAAUUUCACGUGAUCAUGCUGCAUUGCUAGUAGAGGCCAUGGAAUCAAAAUGGUCUUCUGUUAUGGAUGUACUUGGGUUGUGGAUACCACCUGUAAUCAUCCACAAGGAGCAUGACGAUAAGCCUCCAGGCUUAGAUGAAUUCGAAAACGACCCUUUACCUGGAAGGCCUGUUCCUCCUGAAUGUCAUGCUGAACUGCAUACAGAUUAUGAUGGCACUGCUGUUAGAUGGGGUCUAACCCACCACAAAGAGAGUGCAGCUGACUGUUGCCAGGCUUGCUUAGAUCAGGCAAAACGUGCCAAGUCUGGUGAUAAGAAAUGCAAUGUAUGGGUUUAUUGCCCAUCUGAGACAGGCUGUUAUUCUCCAGACAUCUAUGAACAUAAACAUCAGGAGUGCUGGCUGAAAUAUUCGGAAAAACCCAAAUUGAAUUUCAAAGACAAGUAUUCUGAAUCAUAUAGAAGCUCUCACCCAGGGGCACCGCUGUUUGUUCCAUGGGUUUCCGGGGUUGUACGUGCAUGAUUGGGCGCAGAUUGAAGUGAGUAAGCAAACAUUUUGAACUGGCCUAGCAGCAAAGAAUUAAUUUUCAGCUGAAUUCUCAAAAUAGACCAUCUUCAUCUGAUGCUGCUCUGCUGAAAUUUUUGACCAAUAUAUCAUUUGUACAUGGUAGGUUUGAGCACCGAAGUUGCACUACAAACCAAUCAUUGCGGGAUUGAAAUCCACUCAUGGAUCAAAACCAUCGUAGUUCAAUCUGUGUCUCACCCUAAAUGGUCAAUUUCAUUAGGAAAGAAAAGGAAAUAGAUUAUGAAUAACUCACCUUUACAAUUAAACAAAUCUACUGAAAAAUGAAGUAAUCACUCCAAUUACUGAUUGAAAUGGGAUCCAAAAAAUCACCCUAAUUAGUGAUUAAAAUAAAGGAUUAAGAUGAUCAUCUUAAUUAGUGAUUAAAGAAAGGAAAGAUAAUCACCUCAAUUGGUGAUCAAAAUGAGGUUUAGGAAAUAAUCGUCGUAAUUAGUGAUUAUUCAAGGUUUAAGAUAAUCACCCUAUUUAGUGAUUAAAUAUGAUGAAAGGUUAAGAUAAUCACCCUAAUUAGUGAUUAAUCAAGGUAUAAAUUAAUCACCUUAAUUAAUAAUUAAAUAUGAUAGACGGUUAAGAUAAUCACCCUAAUUAGUGAUUAAUCAAGGUUUAAAAUAAUCAUCCUAAUUAGUGAUUAAAUAUGAUGAAAGGUUAAGAUAUGCACCAAAAUUAAUGAUUAAUCAAAAUUUAAGAUAAUCACCCUAAUUAAUGAUUAAAUAUGAAGAAAGUAAUCACCUCAAUUAGUGAUUGGAUGUAAGUUGAAACAAUCACCUCAAUUAGCGACUAAACUUAGGAUUUUUCGAAAGAGGUCCUUUUAAAAAAGAGUUGUGCAUCCUAAUUGAAGGCUUUUGGAUGGAUGAGAAAUAAUAUUAUGUUAAGAUUAUUAAGUCAUUUUUAGCAAGAUAAUCAAUUUGCGAUGGAAUUUGGAGAUUGUGUUAGACUAAUCGAAAUUUGGUCAAUUAAAGCGAGACACAUGUGAAAUGGCCUAAAAUCAAUUGGGGGGGGGGGUGUUUCAUAAUUACCUUUCUAAUUAUAUGUCAAGUUAGAGUAUAUAAUUGAUCCAUUUGAAGAUGGAUGAAAAUUUUGAAAUUAAAAUAUAAGAUGGAUCAUCAUACAAUGUAACUUAGUUAGAUUUGCAAUUAAUCCUCUUAAUUGAGAUUGGGUCAUUUGAUUCAUAUACUACGAUAUAUUGGGCCCAGCAUGCAACAUUUAUAACAAUGGUUGCUCAUUUUAUUCAAAGAGAAUUGUAGAAUUAUUUAUGAUAAUUAUGCAUAAACAUCUCCACAUUUUCCGUUAAUUUAGUGAUGUAAUUACUAUUUAUAAAGAAACUAUUCUUACAACAAUAUGUACAAAUUCUAUGAUCUAUACAAAUCUUCAAUUUUGAUUUUCA